This 381-nucleotide ribosomal RNA is filed under the name Triticum aestivum (bread wheat). Its description in RNAcentral is "partial small subunit ribosomal RNA". Lineage: Eukaryota; Viridiplantae; Streptophyta; Magnoliopsida; Poales; Poaceae. The record is from RNAcentral.
AUGAACGGCGUACUUGGGAGCCUCAUUAAGGAGCAUUACCCUGGCAUGGUUACUUUGCCUGGGGAGGGCAAAGUUCCGGAGCCAGCAUGUACCUGGGACCACUACAAAGCCUAUGAGGAUCUUGGUGUAGCCAACAACAUCGAGUUUCACAACAAAGUCGAGCGGGUCUUUGCUGAACUUUGGGAUUUCUAUAGAUGCGAGGAUGGAAAGUUGGAGGAGGCACGAGCAGUUGCCAACAAACAUUGCCCGAAGCUUGUGCAUAAUCUGAUGCAUGAGGCGCGCCCUUUAGCCGUCCGCAAAUAUAUGGCAACUCAAGGCUAUAAGAGUCUUGAUAAGAAAGCCGGUAGGAGACUCCGUCUUGAGAAGGACAAGUACAUGGAG